AGUCGAGCGAAAGACGAGGAGCUUGCUCCUCUGACGUUAGCGGCGGACGGGUGAGUAACACGUGGAUAACCUACCUAUAAGACUGGGAUAACUUCGGGAAACCGGAGCUAAUACCGGAUAAUAUAUUGAACCGCAUGGUUCAAUAGUGAAAGACGGUUUUGCUGUCACUUAUAGAUGGAUCCGCGCCGCAUUAGCUAGUUGGUAAAGUAACGGCUUACCAAGGCAACGAUGCGUAGCCGACCUGAGAGGGUGAUCGGCCACACUGGAACUGAGACACGGUCCAGACUCCUACGGGAGGCAGCAGUAGGGAAUCUUCCGCAAUGGGCGAAAGCCUGACGGAGCAACGCCGCGUGAGUGAUGAAGGUCUUCGGAUCGUAAAACUCUGUUAUUAGGGAAGAACAAAUGUGUAAGUAACUAUGCACGUCUUGACGGUACCUAAUCAGAAAGCCACGGCUAACUACGUGCCAGCAGCCGCGGUAAU
This 481-nucleotide ribosomal RNA is filed under the name uncultured bacterium. RNAcentral describes it as "bacterial SSU rRNA". It matches the Rfam family "Bacterial small subunit ribosomal RNA", at positions 60 to 524 of the family's 1533-position model. The record is from RNAcentral.